RNAcentral lists this small RNA (1407 nucleotides) under Pan troglodytes (chimpanzee). Its description in RNAcentral is "processed transcript". The record is from RNAcentral. Lineage: Eukaryota; Metazoa; Chordata; Mammalia; Primates; Hominidae.
GGAGUUCCGGGGAAACGCAAAUGAAGAUGGGUUCAAAAGGCAGCCUUUCGUAAUGGGUAAGAGCUCGAACUUUGGAGCCUGCCUGGGUUGGAAUGUUUAAUGUAUCUGGGCCUCAGUUUCCUCAUCUGGGAAGUGAUAGCAUUUGAGGAGACUCAUCUGACCUCCCUUGACCCAGUGAAACAGUUUGCUGCCUGGUUUGAGGAGGCUGUUCAGUGUCCUGACAUAGGGGAAGCCAAUGCCAUGUGUCUGGCUACCUGCACCAGAGAUGGAAAACCCUCUGCCCGCAUGUUGCUGCUGAAGGGCUUCGGGAAAGAUGGCUUCCGCUUCUUCACUAACUUCGAGAGUCGAAAAGGAAAAGAGCUGGACUCUAAUCCCUUUGCUUCCCUUGUCUUCUACUGGGAGCCACUUAACCGUCAGGUGCGUGUGGAAGGCCCUGUGAAGAAACUGCCUGAGGAGGAGGCUGAGUGCUACUUCCACUCCCGCCCCAAGAGCAGCCAGAUUGGGGCUGUGGUCAGCCACCAGAGUUCUGUGAUCCCUGAUCGGGAGUAUCUGAGAAAGAAAAAUGAGGAACUGGAACAGCUCUACCAGGAUCAAGAGGUGCCCAAGCCAAAAUCCUGGGGUGGCUAUGUCCUGUACCCUCAGGUGAUGGAGUUCUGGCAAGGUCAAACCAACCGCCUGCAUGACCGGAUAGUCUUUCGGCGGGGCCUACCCACAGGAGAUUCCCCUUUGGGGCCCAUGACCCACCGCGGGGAGGAAGACUGGCUCUAUGAGAGACUUGCACCUUAACUCUGGGACCUGCUGGCCCAGAGUGGAGCUAGGGCUAGGUGUCAAGAGAGGGUGUGGGAUUGGGACCCAGGCCCUUCUUUCUAAACUCAACCCAUUUCCCUCCCUACCCCUUAUCUUCAGGACUCUUCAGAGCUAAUCCUCUAAGUUCUCUGUACUCAGUUGGUUCUCAGUUAGCUGGUCAAGUGGAGUGUAAUGGUGGCGUAGAGAAUCACAAAUGGAAAAUAAUUCCAUAAUUAUUUUUUUGACCUUGCCUAUGAUUGAUUAGGAUAGCUCCCUCUAGGGGUAGCAGCCGGUGUGACUCCCUUUCUGGUGACAGACAGGGCCCCAGCAGCCCUGUUACCAUGUGAGUCAUACUGGCCAAAGCUUAGUCCUAGCAUAUGCACCUGAGCCAACCUGGCCAAUCAGAUUGUUUUGUCAAUAAUUUGAAAUUUGAACUGGAGAGAUCCAGAACCUUGGGAGUCAUUAAAGCCAAGUCAUUCAUAGCAGCCAGGAAACAAUAGGAACCAACAGCCUCUACCUGCUGCUAUUGCAAUUCCCAGGAUCUCUCCUUCCCUGGAUCCCUCCCUCCCAGGUCUGGGCUGUGCAGUUCCUCCCCCUGCCUUAAAACACCCCACUAUCUCU